Long non-coding RNA from Etheostoma spectabile (orangethroat darter), 508 nucleotides. RefSeq lists it as uncharacterized. Lineage: Eukaryota; Metazoa; Chordata; Actinopteri; Perciformes; Percidae. The transcript has 2 exons. The record is from RefSeq and is a predicted model, not a curated record.
ACUGGCAGAUUAAUUGAUAAUGAAAAUAAUCUUUAGUUGCAGCUCUACUGCAAUAAAAAAUCCCUGGGUCUCUUGUCUAAUGAUUUGGUUUCCAGUAAAACAUGUCUGAACAAGUUUCUAAUUUCUGUCAACAAUCAUUGCACACAAUUACUAUGUUUUUUAUAAAGUAUGAUACAGGUGCACAAGUAACUCAUAGGCUAUAUUUAUAACUUACGUUUCCCCUUCUUUUUUCACUGUAUUUUUUUGCAGGCCAAUACUAUAAGCCCCUCCCAUACAUAUGGAUGGGGGUUAUCGCCCUUUUUUGCUGUCUCCUGUUUUCUGAAACUUAUGGGAAGGCGUUGCCAGAGACCAUAUCACAAAUGCAGCUAAUAUGCAGAAGAAGAGGAAAAAAAGAAAAGGAAGCUGAUAUUGGAGAGACCACAGCUGAUUAUCAGAGCAAAGAAUCCAAGUCAUAGUGUCAAGUUGAUUGACAUUUUUAAGGCAUUUUAUGUACAGUACCUUAUUGCUU